GAUCAUCCAUACUAGAAACCUUCAGAUCUACUCUCUCCGUCGACGAUCUGUCAGAACGCUUCAGAUCUGAGAUAAGCGCAACUGAGAGGUGCGUCGUAGGAGGAGGCGACGGUGAAGGUACCGGUAGAGUUGGGGAGCAUAGAGGGAUGGAUUCCGGUACCUUCAGCUCGGUUUCUUCUUUCUCUCUCUUCUGCGCCGCCAUGAUUGAGAGAUUUCUAGAGAGAGAAAAUGGAAAUGAAAUGGGAAUUUGGGGUGUUGGG
This 260-nucleotide long non-coding RNA is filed under the name Solanum tuberosum (potato). RNAcentral describes it as "long non-coding RNA (STUB_LNC011955)". Lineage: Eukaryota; Viridiplantae; Streptophyta; Magnoliopsida; Solanales; Solanaceae. The record is from RNAcentral.